This 2527-nucleotide long non-coding RNA is filed under the name Homo sapiens (human). RNAcentral's name for it is "HSALNT0366419". The record is from RNAcentral. Lineage: Eukaryota; Metazoa; Chordata; Mammalia; Primates; Hominidae.
GACAAGAGGAUGGGACUGCAGUUGUGGCUGCCAGGGCCCCGGCCAGGGUGAAAACAAGGAACAUUCCAGAGAAGAUCACAAGGAUGCGAAUAAAAUCGGAGCUGCACAGGGAUCUUUGGGCUGUAAUAGGAGGGGACACACAGGGGUUAGGGGAGGGUCUAGCCCUUGGCUCCCUCAGCCCAGCCCUCCUGUCACCUUGCCUCUCCCCUUUCCCCCACCUUAUUCUAUCCCACCCGCCACCGUUGGCCAACUCCUCUCCUAAACAGUGGACUCUGCUUUUUCCCCUCCUCUUAUCCCUAAUCCUAGGAGCUUUCUGUCUGGCUUCCCUCCUGGCCCCUCGUGUAUGCAUUCUCUCUAGCGGUGGGGAUUAAGGAGAAAACUCACGUGGCCAGUGGGUAGAGAGAGUCCGGGCAGGCAGCUGCCUGAAGUCAGCCAGAGUCUGCAUGUGCCCAGCUGUCCUGGCCUCCAGCAUCUCUGGAAAAACAGAGACAGAAUGAGUAGCAGCAGGGGACCCCAUAGGGCACAUCUGAAGGCCUGAGAGGUGCUGGAUGGGAUGGGAAGGCAGAAACAGGCUGACCUUAUCUAGGGGUAGGAGUGGGGAGUACUGGUUGGGGUAUCACCGCUACCCCACGUGAUGGCACAGAGAGUUGCCUGGAACUUACCACUGACAUAAGGACAAGGAGAGGGACAAAUUCCUUCUUGGCAUCCUUAUGGCCCUGUGACCUGCUAAUGAAUGCUGACUCUGAGUUGCUACUAGAAUUUGGUUUCCUUGUGGCUUCCCAGGAAUUGUGAGCCAUGUUGGAUAAGGACCUGCAAGGGAAGAAUGAGGAAGCCUGGGACAGUGCAGGAGGGGAGAGCACUGGUGGUAGAGAGGAGUGAUGACAAGGGUCUCCGCCAAAAGGGAAAUGGAGGGGUUAAAGAAGCUGCUGGGGAGGGUUAAAAACAAUGUGUUCUCACUCGUAGGUGGGAAUUGAACAAUGAGAACACUUGGACACAGGAAGGGGAACAUCACACACUGGGGCCUGUCGUGGGGUGUGGGGAGGGAGGAGGGAUAGCAUUAGGAGAUAUACCUAAUGUAAAUGAUGAGUUAAUGGGUGCAGCACACCAACAUGGCACAUGUAUACCUAUGUAACAAACCUGCACAUUGUGUACAUGUACCCUAGAACUUAAAGUAUAAUUAAAAAACAAAACAAAACAAAACAAAAACAAUGAGGUGCUAUUGUUUUAGUGGUGAGUAUCCGGAGACCUGGGAGUUCUAUUUACCAGGUAUAACCUGGGCUCAAAAUUCCAGGCUGACUUCAGGCAUGUCCUCAUCUCAUAGAUGCCAGCACUAAGGCCCAGAGAGGGCCGAGCUCAUUCAGCCCACCCAUCUUCUCACCCCUGACUGCAUUUCCCGGGGGUCCUUCUGCAGCCAGGUGCUGCUGUGGUACUUUGGGAUCUAUUGGCUGAGCUCCCAGAGAAGGGUCAUGGAUUGGGCUAGUUUGGAACAAGUGAAGGGACUGAAGAUGGGCUCAGUAUGGGGCGAAGACCUUCAGGAAGGGUCUGCAGAGUGAGUAGGGGGGUUUUGACUAGGAAAAGUUCCAACCCUGCCGGGGCCGCUGUCAAGAGAAAAGCAUCUAUUACAGUUACAUUUUUAAGUUAAGUAGACUGAAGAAUAUUUCUUGUGUAUUAAAGACGUUCCUUUUUGGUUGAUUUGCAAUGGAAAAGCUUUUGUUUUCUUUUUUUUUUUGGAAACAGGGUCUCACUCUGCUCACUCUGUCUCCCAAGCUGGAGUGCAGUGGUACAGUCACGGCUCACUGCAGCCUCCACUUCCUGGACUCAAGUGAUCUUCUCACUUCAGCCUUCUGAGUAGCUGGGACUACAGGUAGACCCAGUGUAAUCACAAGCAUCCUUGUAAGUGGCAAAGAGGCAGAGGAGACAGCGCCAGAGAGGCAGCUGCAUGAGAAGGAUCAAGAUGUUGCUGACUUUGAAGUUGGAAGAAGAAGGCCAUGAGCCUCAGUAUGUGGGCGGCUUCUAGAAGCUGGAAGGGGCAAGGAGAUGGAUUUGACCCUUCAGCCUCCAGGGGCAGCUGUACCUGCCAUCACUGAUUGUAGCCUGGUGAGGCCUGUUUUAGACUUCUGACCUGUAGAGCUGUAACAUAAUACAUUUGGGUUGUUUUCAACCACUAAGUUUGUGGUAAUUUGUUGUAGCAGCUGUAGAAAAUGAAUACAUAUGAAUCCUCUGGCAUUUGUUUGAGAUUUGCUCUAUGGCCUAGUAUGUGGUUGUAAAUGUUCCAUCUGUGCCUGAAAAAAUGUAUAUUUCUAAUUCAGUAGUCUCUGCUUUUUUUUUUUAUUUUGUACCCCAUCAAUAAAAUGAUUUUCAGCAUGUAUCCCCAAAUAAACAAUAUUUUAUUUAUUGAUUGAUUGAUAAACAGACAUGUUUAAUGAUAGCUUGCUUUUCACAGAGGUGACUUCGGAGACUUCUAAUCUAUAAUCCAGGAGUAUAUAACCAUGCAGCACAGACCAAUUAGUCACAUGUAAAAUAAACU